CCCUCCACCUUCGCGGCGUUCUGGUUGCUAUGCCCUUUUGUGGCUGUUACAAGCCCGCCCCCCCGCAACGCCCUUCUGUCUGAGUGUUCUUCGCUGGGCUCGGAACUUUGGGACACAUGUAUGAAGUAUGAACACAGACAAAGCCUCACUUCAAAGCUCGUGUUAAGGGCCCUUGAAGUAAUAGUUAUUGCAAAACUACGGCCGUCUAGCUAACCUGUCUUAUUUUGUAAGGGUACUUGGGAAAGUGUGAUUCACCAAACAUUUUCGCGGACAUUUCAAAAUUGUUGGAGUCAGAAUAGGAGAGAGACCACCCAUUUGAGGUCGUGGCUUGACAGGAAUGGGACCAAUCUAGACUUCUCUUCUCUGGCUUCUUUGUGCUUUGCAUUUUUUGGAGGGCUGGGAUAGUGGCCUGUCUUCAUGCAUGAUGAGAUGAUCAACACCAACAGGGAAGGAAGGAAGAUCUUUGCCACAGAGGAUCCUAGUUCCAGCUUCCAGAAAUCUAUAAUCUCAGCCACAGCAGCAACAACAGAAUCAUCGUGGGAUGUGUGAAGAGGGGAAUGCAGAAAUGACAG
Long non-coding RNA from Mastomys coucha (southern multimammate mouse), 572 nucleotides. RefSeq lists it as uncharacterized. The record is from RefSeq and is a predicted model, not a curated record. Lineage: Eukaryota; Metazoa; Chordata; Mammalia; Rodentia; Muridae. The transcript has 3 exons.